AUGGAAGCAGAACUCACAGCACUAGAUACAGCUACGGUCGAAGCAGAUUGGCUUCGCCGACUCUUGAAUGACUUGCCGGUUGUUGAGAAACCUGUACCGGGUGUCCUUCUGAACUGCGACAAUCAAACUGUGAUCACGAAAGUGAGCAGCUCAAAGGAUAACAUGAAGUCAUCAAGACACGUUCAGAGAAGGUUAAAGUCUGUCAGGAAAAUGAAAAACUCCGGAGUUAUUGCAUUGGAUUAUGUCCAAACGUCUAAAAAUCUGGCAGAUCCUUUUACUAAGGGUCUAUCACGUAAUGUGAUAGAUAAUGCAUCAAGGGAGAUGGGUAUGAGACCCACAAUAUGA
RNAcentral lists this ribosomal RNA (345 nucleotides) under Triticum aestivum (bread wheat). Its description in RNAcentral is "partial small subunit ribosomal RNA". The record is from RNAcentral. Lineage: Eukaryota; Viridiplantae; Streptophyta; Magnoliopsida; Poales; Poaceae.